AACGAACGCUGGCGGCAUGCCUAACACAUGCAAGUCGAACGCCUGUAGCAAUACAGGAGUGGCAGACGGGUGCAUAACACGUGGGAACCUACCCUUGGGUUCGGAAUAACCGCGGGAAACUGCGGCUAAUACCGGAUACGUCCUGUGGGAGAAAGAUUCAUCGCCCUUGGAGGGGCCCGCGUCGGAUUAGCUAGUUGGUGAGGUAACGGCUCACCAAGGCGACGAUCCGUAGCUGAUCUGAGAGGAUGAUCAGCCACACUGGAACUGUGACACGGUCCAGACUCCUACGGGAGGCAGCAGUGGGGAAUAAUUGGACAAUGGGCGCAAGCCUGAUCCAGCAAUGCCGCCGUGGGUGAUGAAGG
RNAcentral lists this ribosomal RNA (362 nucleotides) under uncultured bacterium. RNAcentral's name for it is "bacterial SSU rRNA". It matches the Rfam family "Bacterial small subunit ribosomal RNA", at positions 29 to 414 of the family's 1533-position model. The record is from RNAcentral.